AUGGCGCUGCCCUCCGUGCGUCGCUGCCUGCAACUCGGUGCCGAAAACGAGCAAUUACUGAAGAAGCUGAAAAAGCUACAAAGAAAGAAUAAGGAGCUGGAAAAGGAUUUGGCUCAGAUUCAGGAAGGAGGGCGGCAGCGGCAGUUAGCGCGUGGUCGUGUUGCCAGCAGAGACGUUCAGAUUCAAACAGACACACACUUAUGGCAUAAGGGUGGAUACAGCAAGGAUCUUAAUCUGGAGGGUGAAAGUGCCAGACUACUACAGAAGUAUAGUAAUCUACAGAAAUGUUAUGUUAAGGAAAUGAAAACAAACCAGGAACAAAGUGAAACAAUUAGAAACCUCACUCUGAAAAUUCAUGAGCUAGAGCAUAAUCUUCAAGAGCAGAAGCAAAGGAUUGAGCAAUUGGAACAUAAUAAUGUUUUGUGGAAAACUCAUGCUGUUUCUGGAAAAAGAAGUCGAACCUUAGAGGGAGAAAUAGUGUCUCACAGAGACGUAUCUAAAAAGGAGUCCUGCUGUAGUAAAUAUUUAGAGCUGUUGCUAAAGGAGAUCAAAAAGUUGAAGAAAGAAAACGAAAAGUUGUCAGAGGAAAGGAGAGCACUAAGGAAGGAAUUAGCUGGAUUAAACAAGGAAUUUUUUGAAGAGAUAGAAGAUCUAAAGCGUGCUGUGCAGGAAUCUGUGAAACUGAAUAAUCAGUAUGAGAAGUGCUUGAAACAAAUAAGUGUAAUCUUUGGACUUCCUUUUACAGCACAUUUGUAA
RNAcentral lists this long non-coding RNA (756 nucleotides) under Chrysolophus pictus (golden pheasant). RNAcentral describes it as "lncRNA (ENSCPIG00010000699.1)". The record is from RNAcentral. Lineage: Eukaryota; Metazoa; Chordata; Aves; Galliformes; Phasianidae.